GAACAUAACUAAAAAAGAUGCAGAACACAACUAUGGGUAUGAUAGCAUCAUGAUACUAAAACUGAGCAUACAAUCAUUAUAUUUUCUACACCAAUUACCUAUAUCAACAAAAUCACGCCAUUUCAAAUUUGUGAAAAUAAGCUACAAUACCUGAACAUCAAUUUCCUCCAUAAAUACAUCCUUUGGUGUAUCACACAAUGUUUGACCUGCAACUGGAUGCAGAAGAAAGCUCACAAAUUCCAUGAAAUAUUGUAGGGGCUGAGUGAAACAUGGGGAGAAACAAAGUUGUAUAUAUGAAGGUGAUUUGUCUAAUUACCUUGGAGGAAGGGAUUUAACAUCAACGUCAUAGC
RNAcentral lists this long non-coding RNA (350 nucleotides) under Triticum aestivum (bread wheat). Its description in RNAcentral is "long non-coding RNA (TAES_LNC024739)". The record is from RNAcentral. Lineage: Eukaryota; Viridiplantae; Streptophyta; Magnoliopsida; Poales; Poaceae.